This 460-nucleotide ribosomal RNA is filed under the name uncultured bacterium. RNAcentral describes it as "partial 16S ribosomal RNA". It matches the Rfam family "Bacterial small subunit ribosomal RNA", at positions 338 to 795 of the family's 1533-position model. The record is from RNAcentral.
CCUACGGGAGGCUGCAGUGAGGAAUAUUGGUCAAUGGACGAGAGUCUGAACCAGCCAAGUAGCGUGAAGGAUGACUGCCCUAUGGGUUGUAAACUUCUUUUAUAUGGGAAUAAAAUGAUCCACGUGUGGGAUUUUGUAUGUACCAUAUGAAUAAGGAUCGGCUAACUCCGUGCCAGCAGCCGCGGUAAUACGGAGGAUCCGAGCGUUAUCCGGAUUUAUUGGGUUUAACGGGAGCGUAGGUGGAUUGUUAAGUCAGUUGUGAAAGUUUGCGGCUCAACCGUAAAAUUGCAGUUGAAACUGGCAGUCUUGAGUACAGUAGAGGUGGGCGGAAUUCGUGGUGUAGCGGUGAAAUGCUUAGAUAUCACGAAGAACUCCGAUUGCGAAGGCAGUUCACUAGACUGCAACUGACACUGAGGCUCGAAAGUGUGGGUAUCAAACAGGAUUAGAUACCCGUGUAGUC